GAUGAACGCUAGCUACAGGCUUAACACAUGCAAGUCGCGGGGCAGCAUGGGGGUUGCUUGCACUCCCCGAUGGCGACCGGCGCACGGGUGAGUAACGCGUAUCCAACCUGCCCUUCACCACGGGAUAACCCGGCGAAAGUCGGACUAAUACCGUAUGUUGUCCAUUGACGGCAUCCGAUUUGGACGAAAGGCUUGGCGGUGAGGGAUGGGGAUGCGUCCGAUUAGCCAGACGGCGGGGUAACGGCCCACCGUGGCUACGAUCGGUAGGGGUUAUGAGAGGGAGGUCCCCCACACUGGAACUGAGACACGGUCCAGACUCCUACGGGAGGCAGCAGUGAGGAAUAUUGGUCAAUGGGCGUAAGCCUGAACCAGCCAAGUAGCGUGCAGGAUGACGGCCCUAUGGGUUGUAAACUGCUUUUAUGCGGGGAUAAAGUGGCCCACGUGUGGGCUUUUGCAGGUACCGCAUGAAUAAGGACCGGCUAAUUCCGUG
Molecule: ribosomal RNA, 490 nt
Filed under: uncultured bacterium
Lineage: Bacteria
Description: partial 16S ribosomal RNA
Rfam family: Bacterial small subunit ribosomal RNA
Source: RNAcentral